UAUGGCCACAUCACAUUGAAACACCAGUUCCCGUACAAUCAUUGAAGUUAAGCAACAUCAAUCCUUGUCAGUACUUAUAUGGGUGACCACUUAGGUAUACCAGGUGCUGUAAG
This is a non-coding RNA of Acanthosepion pharaonis, 113 nucleotides long. NCBI's taxonomy places the organism in Eukaryota, Metazoa, Mollusca, Cephalopoda, Sepiida, Sepiidae. The record is from the annotation of a GenBank genome assembly.